Oreochromis niloticus (Nile tilapia) is the source of this 587-nucleotide long non-coding RNA. RefSeq lists it as uncharacterized. The transcript has 4 exons. Lineage: Eukaryota; Metazoa; Chordata; Actinopteri; Cichliformes; Cichlidae. The record is from RefSeq and is a predicted model, not a curated record.
GGUUCUACUGGUGUUACUGGUUCUGCUGGUGAGACGAUGUGUUCACAGGAACCCUGAAGAAUAUCAUAAAGAUGUUUUAGAAGAUGAAAUCAUCACUCAUGUCAUGUACAACGCCAUCAAGAUAUUAAAUCAGCAGCAGCAGCCAAUCAGACAGCAGAGAGAGACGGAUUCAGUCGUAGUCUACUCAGGAGGGAGAAUUGAAGACGUCAGUUAUGGACAGACAACCAUCAGAACAAAGAGUCCCAGACUUUAAACCAGAGCCAGACGUCAUCUACUCUUCACUGAAGUAGUCCACCAGUCCAACCACUGACGUCCAGUUGCUGGUCUCUAACUGGUUCAUCACAGCACCUCAGACUAGAGAACAUCCACAUGUUACAGAGAUUUUUAUAAGUAUUUUCAUCUUGGUUGAAAAAGCUAAAAAUCACCAAACUAAACUUUUUUGUGUUCGCUGGUGUUACGAAAUAAAUAUUUCUGCAACAUCAACAAAUUUUCGCUCUCACUUUCAUUUCUCACGUGGGUCUCUGGGUUUCUAAAAUAUGUCCUGUGGAAAGUUUGAUUUGUUGCUGUUUUGUUGUGGCUAACCGACA